Gasterosteus aculeatus aculeatus (three-spined stickleback) is the source of this 1080-nucleotide long non-coding RNA. NCBI's taxonomy places the organism in Eukaryota, Metazoa, Chordata, Actinopteri, Perciformes, Gasterosteidae. The record is from Ensembl.
CACAAAUUCAGCUGUGAUCUGAUUCUGGAAUUCAACAUCAUCUGGCACCCUCCUUGGCACCUUCUUAGCAUCCUUUUCGCUUAUUUAUGUGACCUUCAGACUAAUGUAGAUCUGUCUUUCUUCUUAAGGCUUUCUCUGGUGGUGUUUAUUCCUGGUGAUGCACAAUUCUAUGAAAUGGCGGACUUCUCUCCCCUCCUUCUGUCCAAAUGUUCCCAGUGAAUGCGUCUAAUGCUACUUAGUUUUAUCUUGGUGAUGAUUGGUCAUUGCAACCGAAUAGACGCUCUGAACUCAAAAUCCUCAAAUUCUGUUACUGUAAUAUCGUUGGCGUAUGUUUGCAUCCUGAACAUUCUUAUCAUAUGUGUUUAUCAAGUGUCCCAGCAGUUCCCGUUCCUUCUCUAAUCUGGAAAUUGUGUGUCACAUUAGCUCAGUGUUUGUGGAUUUCUUCGUUGUAUGUGUGUGCCUAUACUUCUCCUCCUUGAUGUUCCUCUGUUGGAACAUCUGUUGUUGUCAGCGGUUUGGUCAGAUGACACGUAGCUGUCAUCCUAGACGUGUGAUUAAGCUUCACGCUCCCUCCUUGGACCUCGGAUCACCUCAGUUCCUGUGAGCAGACUGCUCUGCUAACCGGAGGUCCCAUUAGGACAAGAUUCCCCAAUCGGCUGUUGAAUAGAGAAGCACAAGUGGUGCAGCUAUGUGUGUGGGUGUGUGUAGGUGUGUCUAGAUGUGCGUGUGAGUGUGUGUGUGUGUGUGCUCUCCCAAUUCCUGUUGCUCUUUCUUCUGGUUUACCAAACUCUUCAAGCCAACAAGUUCUACCAUCUAGUGUGUGCAUAUUUAAACAUAACUGGAACUCAACAUUUCACCCACUUAUUUCCCAGUUUUAGCUAUUUCUUUUAAUGUGGAGUAAUUGUAUCAUCUGUGUGUCUCAUCAGUCCUUGUGUCAGUGUAUGAGAAGAGCAAUGUCAUUGCACAUUCGUUCCAGGAAGAAAAGUCAUGUUGAAUCUUCCUGCGUUGGCCAUCGUCUGCUGUUAUCCCUAAAAUGCCACUUGAGUAGCUAAACUCUAACAUCUAGUGUUUUCCUAAAAA